This 647-nucleotide long non-coding RNA is filed under the name Callithrix jacchus (white-tufted-ear marmoset). RNAcentral describes it as "lncRNA (ENSCJAG00000080129.1)". The record is from RNAcentral. Lineage: Eukaryota; Metazoa; Chordata; Mammalia; Primates; Cebidae.
CUGGGAAACGGUACUGUCACCCACUCCUUUUUAGUUAUUCCAGAGUGUCCAUACCCACUCCUAGGACGUGAUUUACUCCACAAACUUCAAGCAAAUAUUUCUUUUUGCAAGAGUCAGUCUUGCCUCUCAAUUCCUCCUCCCUUGACAUCAGGGUUACCUCAGAAAAUCCUCAUCACCUGUGCUCUAUCAGAUGAGUAUCUCUUGCAGGAAGCUUUAAACUCAAAGGCAAAUCAACCGCCAACAUCGGACCUCCUCCGCCAGUUUCAAGAAAAGGUACCUGGAAUGUGGGCUGAGACAAAUCCCCCAGGCUUGGCAAGUCACUGUACCCCGGUCAUGGUCCAGCUAUUGGCAACGGCAACUCCAGUCCAGCGAGCCAGAGGAGCCCAUACAUGACUGCCAAUAGACAAUCAAUGUCCUCCAUGCUGCACAACCAGAUCUCACCGACGUCCCCCUGCAGAACCCGGAAGAGGCAUUCGUCACCACUGGGGUCCUGGCCUGUACUUGCCUCAUCCCUGAGAGGAAUGCUACACAGAGAGGCCAAGAAGAAUCAAAACAGACAAGCCUUGCUGGGCUCCCUCUUCAGUCUGUUACCAUUAGAUUAUACCCUUUUGUCUGAUCACAUUUCUACAUGAAUGUUUAUUCUUAAG